UGUGAGAGCGAGCCUGCUCGCGAUAGCGGAGUGUCAUUUAGCAUCCUUUGUGAAUGUUACACCGCCAUCGUGAGCAGGCUCGCUUCCUCA
This 90-nucleotide unclassified non-coding RNA is filed under the name Pseudomonas reinekei. The record is from RNAcentral. Lineage: Bacteria; Pseudomonadati; Pseudomonadota; Gammaproteobacteria; Pseudomonadales; Pseudomonadaceae.